This 2319-nucleotide ribosomal RNA is filed under the name Triticum aestivum (bread wheat). RNAcentral's name for it is "partial small subunit ribosomal RNA". The record is from RNAcentral. Lineage: Eukaryota; Viridiplantae; Streptophyta; Magnoliopsida; Poales; Poaceae.
AUGAGGAGCGGCAGAGUCCCUGGACGAGGAGGCGGUGACGGUCGUGGUGGAGAGACCGCCGCCCUCCUGUGCGGCCUCCUGCUCUUGCUCGGCGCCGCCGACGCGCAGGGCAUCCGGCGCCCCUCUUCCUACAAAACCUUACGAGGUGAUGCUCCCCUUGUGAUCGCCAAAGGUGGAUUUUCAGGAGUAUUUCCUGAUUCCAGUUAUGGCGCGUUUUCUUUCGCAUUGCUUGCUAGUGCACCUGAUACAAGUCUGUGGUGUGAUGUGCAACUCACAAAGGAUGGUGUUGGAAUUUGCCUUCGGGAUAUAAAUAUGUCAAACUGCACCAAUGCUGCACAAGUCUACCCUGCGAAAAAUAAAAAAGAGGCAAAAUAUGUUAUCGAUGGCGUGCCAAAAACUGGAUACUUCUCUCUGGACUUCACCUUGUCUGAGAUUCAAACGACAAUUUCUUUAACACAGGGGAUUUAUUCUCGCACUGAAAGGUUUGAUACCAUGUAUUAUAUCCUUUCCGUGACAGACUUUCAGUCCAAUGUCAAGCCGCCUUCUGUUUGGUUGAAUGUUCAGCGUGACAUAUUCUAUAAGCAACAUGGUUUGAACAUGAGAAGCUACAUAGUUUCCAUCCUAAAGAGUGUCCCUGUCAAGUAUAUUUCAUCACCUGAGUUGGGUUUCCUCAAAAGUAUAUCUAAAAGAGUUGGCGGCAGAACAAAGCUUGUGUUUCGCUUUCCUGAUAACUUUCUCUCCGAUCCUUCUACAAACCAAACUUACAGCUCACUGUCGAAGAACCUAACAUUUAUUAAGACCAUUGCUUCUGGUAUCAUGGUCCCCAAGACCUACAUCUGGCCAGUGACGAAUGAUAACUAUCUGGAGCCUCCAACAUCUUUUGUCCAAGAUGCCCACAGUGCAGGGCUAGAAAUAUAUGCAUCUGACUUCGCAAAUGAUAGAAUUAUUCCCUAUAACUACAGUUAUGAUCCCUUGCAAGAAUACCUAUCAUUUAUAAGUGAUGGCGGCUUCUCUGUGGAUGGUGUAUUAACAGACUACCCUAUUACUGCAUCCGAGGCUAUUGGCUGUUUUGCUGACUUGAAUGCAAGUAAGGCGGAUCAUGGGAAACCUUUAAUCAUUUCACAUAAUGGUGCCAGUGGAGACUACCCAGAUUGUACUGAUCUUGCCUACCAGAAUGCAAUUAAGGAUGGUGCUGACGUGAUUGACUGUGUCCUUCAAGUGACAAAAGAUCGAGUUCUUAUUUGCAUGAGUUCCAUCAACCUGCUCGAGACCACCAAUGUUCAGAUGACACCUUUCAGUUCCCGUACAUCUGUCAUUCCUGAAGUUCGGGGUACACCAGGGAUUUUUACAUUCAACCUUACUUGGAAUGACAUUAGCGAUAGUUCUUUGAAACCCAAGAUAUCUAGCCCAUUGAGUACCUACUAUCUUGUAAGAAACCCGAGAUACACAAAUAAUGGGAAGUUUGUCAAGUUCUCGGACUUUCUGGAAUUUGGAAAGGAUCAGGAUUUGUCUGGCAUCAUGAUCAUUAUCGAGAAUGCCGCAUUUAUGGCGAAGUCAUUAGGAUUUGAUGUUCUCGAGUCCCUAACCACUGCCUUAAAUGAUGCUGGCUAUAAUAAUCAAACUACCAAGGAAGUCAUGAUCCAGUCAACAGAUAGUGCUGUUCUUGUGAAAUUGAAGCAGCAGAAAGCAAAAUACAAGCUUGUUUACACUCUCCCGUCAGGCAUUGGGUCUGCUUCUGUUUCCUCACUAACAGAUGUUAAGGAGUUUGCUGAGGCUGUAGUUGUCGACAGGAGUUCUUUCUUUGCACAAAGUGUGCAUUUUAUCAUCAACCACACCAGCCUUUUGACAGAUCUGCAGUCCGCAGGACUAACGGUAUACGCGCAGGUGUUCCGCAACGAGUUUGUAUCACAACCUUGGGACUUCUUCGGAGAUGAAACAGUGGAAAUUAAUAGCUAUGCCCAGUCGCUUAAAGUCGAUGGCUUAAUCACUGACUUCCCCAAGACAGUGAGGAGAUACAAGAGGAAUUCUUGUACGGGUUUGGGAAAUGACGUGCCCUCCUACAUGGGGAACGUUACUGUCGGUGGCCUGGCGCAACUACUCAAGAAUCAAGCCGCUCCUCAGGCCCAGCCGCCAUCUGUGGCACCAAUGCCAAAAUUGGACGCAUCAAGCGUGCAGCAGCCGCCAUUCCCCCCUGUCGCGCCCAAGAAUGCACCUUUUGGUGCCGGCCCACCUCCUGGUUCAUCGCCUUCUGCUGCUCACAAGACGGCUGUAAGCACCUGCAUUCUGCUGGUAGUGGCAUGUGCAACUCUUCUGCUUUGA